UUCAGUCAAUAUCUGUGCUAUAUUGGAGUAUUAAAAGAACUUAAAAUUCAAAGUAGGAGCUUGAUUUGGAACCAGAAAUAAACUGAUAACUUUUUCUUAAUUUAUCACCCCAAAAUAAAUGAAAAAGUAGAAUAAUUUAUUAAAUAACUAUCUUGAAAGCUUUAGCAUUUUUCUUCAAUAUGGUAUUUCUCAUUUAAGCACAAAUAUUUUAAAAUAUUAGUGUUACCAUGUGUGUAUUUGACAUGACUUUUUGGUACUCCCAAAGCUACUGAGAUCUUAUGAAACCUACUGAGAAGCCAGAAGAUAUGAGAGUAUUUGCAAUACAUUUCUAUUUUGAGAUUUUAUAACAAUCACUUCUACCCCUAACAGAGACGAACACGGCUGCUACUCUGAAACCUGACCUCAGGAGAAUGAACCUGUUCUGAAAUACAACCCAGCAACAGGAGAGCUGUGGACUCUUGAUUUAAAGGAGAGAGCCAUUUGAGCUACAACUCUGCUCCAGGAAGAGUGGCUGUUGACCCCUGAACUUGGGAAAAGACAUUUGUCAUAAUUAACCACAGCACCAGAAGUAGGGGUGGAAUUGAGGGACUAACAAUGAGGUUUUUGUACUCUGUGUUAAAAAAAAAUAGUUAAUGAGCCCCCACAAGCUGGGAUCGGGUGUAUCUUGUUCUCACUACCAGCGAGAGACUGCAAGCACCAAGAGGGAGUUGCAGGGUCAAAAGGGGACAUGAUCAAGGACACAUCGCUGUCAUAGGGAAGAGGAAAAGUUUUAUUAUAAUUACAUUUUAGAAAUGUAAUGUGCUUUUUAAAUUUUAAUUUCAAGGCAUGAAUUAAUCUUAUUCACGUUUCAUGUUGCAGUAAAAUGGAAACAGUUGGCUAAACUUUCUAAGGUACACGUAAUAAGUCUCCACACUUAAAGUAAGAAGUGCAUAUUCUUAGAUAUAUUUAAUAGCUUUAACUGGCAGCCAUUGCCUUUGUUUCUCACCCUACAGUUAUUUGUCAACAAGUAAUUUACAACUUUAGUAAAUGGUAUUAUUGUAUUA
This is a long non-coding RNA of Caretta caretta (loggerhead turtle), 1043 nucleotides long. RefSeq lists it as uncharacterized. NCBI's taxonomy places the organism in Eukaryota, Metazoa, Chordata, Testudines, Cheloniidae. The record is from RefSeq and is a predicted model, not a curated record.